GAUGAAGAACGUAGCGAAAUGCGAAAAGUAAUGUGAAUUGCAGAAUUCAGUGAAUCAUCGAAUCUUUGAACGCACAUUGCGCCCGCCAGUAUUCUGGCGGGCAUGCCUGUCUGAGCGUCAUUUCAACCCUCACGCCCCUAGGGCGUGGUGUUGGGGAUCGGCCAGCGCCCUCGCGGGCGAGGCCGUCCCCUAAAUCUAGUGGCGGACCCGUCGUGGCCUCCCCUGCGAAGUAGUGAUAUUCCGCAUAGGAGAGCGACGAGCCCCUGCCGUUAAACCCCCAACUUUCUCAGGUUGACCUCGGAUCAGGUAGGAAUACCCGCUGAACUUAAGCAUAUCAAUAAGCGGAGGA
Molecule: unclassified non-coding RNA, 349 nt
Filed under: soil metagenome
Description: partial contains 5.8S ribosomal RNA, internal transcribed spacer 2, and large subunit ribosomal RNA
Rfam family: 5.8S ribosomal RNA (bases 1-120)
Source: RNAcentral